CAGAAUCUCCAGCCAUGCAGGUGACAUUUAAUGUUCUGACUGCACCGCUGUGGCAGUCAGCUUGACACUGCGUAGAUUCUGACUGACCUUCUUCCAGGGCCCCCCUCCCUGCUCUAAGUCCCCUCCUUUGAAACGCUUUAUGACCUUUCUCUAGUCUGUCUUUCAUUUUCUUUGGGCCUUAACACGUGGGAGACUGCAAUAUCUCUCAGCACACCCUCAUAGGCCAGCAUCCUAACCUCAUAGCCUGUCUCCUGUUGUGAACAUACGGAGCUAUGGCGGGCUAGACCGCUCUCCUGAAUUUCUGACCUGCACAGCUGACUCUCCCCCCAGUCCUCCACAUGGAGAUUUCAGAAAGCAUCACCAGGCUAUGGCUUUUGAGGUUCUACUCACAAUGGAGCCGCCCACGUCCAGUCUUCUUCCGGUUCCAGGGGCCGAACUCAAGUCACCCAUCAACUAUGACAGCGAACUUUGUUGCCCGCUGCGCCACCUCACGGGCCUGCUUCACUUACUCUUAAGGGCAGGGUGUUCUGGUUAAAUUUUUGUGAAACACAAAACUCAUUGGACACAAACCUAGACACAUUUGGGGAGGGACGGUCUCAGGCAAGGGUGACCCAUGGGACAUGUUUGUGGGCAUUUUCAUAUAUAUAUAUAUAUAUUAAGAUUUAUUAAUUUUAUUUUAUGUGUAUGAAUGUCUCGCCUGAAUGUAUGUAAAUGUAAAAUAACCCACAUGAAUGAUUGUUUCUUCAGGAGUCAGAAGAGGGUGUUGGGUCCCCUAGAACCAGAGUCACAGAUCGUUGAGAGCCACCAUGUGGAGAAGUGAGCCAGGGUCCUCUAUAAAAACAUCAUGUGCUUUUUAAAAUACAGGGUUUCUCUCUGUGUAGCCCUGGUUGUCUUAGAACUCUCUAUGUAGUCCACGCUGGCUUUGAACUCACAGAGACCCGCCUGUCUCUGCCUCACAAGGGCUGGAUUAAAGGUGUGCACCACUGUGAUCCAAAACAAAGUGCUCUUGAUUGCCGAGCCAUCUCUUAAGGUUGAUGUGGGAAAGGUCAACCCACUGUGGUGGCGUCACCCUGGCCAGGGGUCCUGGGUGGUGUAAGGAAGCCAGCUGUGCAAACGGCAAACAGUAGAGAACAAUCGAGGAAGCGGAAGUCCUCCACGCUGGCUGCCUCUGCUCCUGCGUGAGUCCUGUCCAGACUUUACUGAGUGAUGGACAGUGAUUGGAACACGUAAGCCUUUGCUUCCCAUUGCUUUCGAUCAUGGUUCUUAAACACAGAAGAUAGCAAACCAGGACAGAGUCUCUCACUGAGCCCGGAGCUCGGGAUUCAGCUAGGCUGUCUUGCCAGCGAGCCCCAAGCAUCCUCCCUCGCUACGACUGGGAUCACAGUCAGUCACAGCACUGGGCCUGCCGUUUUACAUGGGUGGGGUGCUGGCUCGGGCCCUGCUUCCCGCCGCCUACCCCCAUCUCCCAUCCCGUUCUUUUUUUUUUUUUUUUUUUUUUUUUUUUUUUUUUUUUUUUUUAGUUUUUCGAGAGUGUCCUGGAAUUCACUCUGUAGACCAGGCUGGCCUCGAACUCAGAAAUUCACCUGCCUCUGCCUCCCAAGUGCAAGUGCUGGGAUUAAAGGCGUGUG
Long non-coding RNA from Mus musculus (house mouse), 1628 nucleotides. RefSeq annotates it as RIKEN cDNA 1700064F23 gene. The transcript is spliced from 3 exons. The record is from RefSeq and is a predicted model, not a curated record. Lineage: Eukaryota; Metazoa; Chordata; Mammalia; Rodentia; Muridae.